Molecule: ribosomal RNA, 501 nt
Filed under: uncultured bacterium
Lineage: Bacteria
Description: bacterial SSU rRNA
Rfam family: Bacterial small subunit ribosomal RNA
Source: RNAcentral
CUACGGGAGGCAGCAGUGGGGAAUAUUGGACAAUGGGGGAAACCCUGAUCCAGCGACGCCGCGUGUGUGAAGAAGGCCUGCGGGUUGUAAAGCACUUUUAGUGGGGACAAAAAGCCAUCGGCGAAUACCUGGUGGUCUUGAUUUAACUCACAGAAAAAGCACCGGCUAACUCUGUGCCAGCAGCCGCGGUAAUACAGAGGGUGCGAGCGUUAAUCGGAAUUACUGGGCGUAAAGCGCGCGUAGACGGUUUUGUAAGUCAGAUGUGAAAUCCCUGGGCUCAACCUGGGAACUGCAUUUGAGACUGCAUGGCUAGAGUAUGGAAGAGGGAAGUGGAAUUUCCGGUGUAGCGGUGAAAUGCGUAGAUAUCGGAAGGAACACCAGUGGCGAAAGCGACUUCCUGGUCCAAUACUGACGUUCAUGUGCGAAAGCGUGGGGAGCAAACAGGAUUAGAUACCCUGGUAGUCCACGCCAUAAACGAUGACAACUAGAUGUUGGGAGGGU